Molecule: transfer RNA, 83 nt
Filed under: Nematostella vectensis (starlet sea anemone)
Lineage: Eukaryota; Metazoa; Cnidaria; Anthozoa; Actiniaria; Edwardsiidae
Rfam family: tRNA
About the family: Transfer RNA (tRNA) molecules are approximately 80 nucleotides in length. Their secondary structure includes four short double-helical elements and three loops (D, anti-codon, and T loops).
Source: Rfam by way of RNAcentral
ACCAGGAUGGCCGAAUGGUUAAGGCGUUGGACUUAAGAUCCAAUGUACGAAUGUACGCGUGGGUUCGAACCCCACUCCUGGUA